RNAcentral lists this ribosomal RNA (460 nucleotides) under uncultured bacterium. RNAcentral's name for it is "partial 16S ribosomal RNA". It matches the Rfam family "Bacterial small subunit ribosomal RNA", at positions 338 to 795 of the family's 1533-position model. The record is from RNAcentral.
CCUACGGGAGGCAGCAGUGAGGAAUAUUGGUCAAUGGGCGAGAGCCUGAACCAGCCAAGUCGCGUGAAGGAUGACGGCCCUACGGGUUGUAAACUUCUUUUGUCAGGGAGCAAUUGGGUCCACGCGUGGGCUUAGCGAGAGUACCUGAAGAAAAAGCAUCGGCUAACUCCGUGCCAGCAGCCGCGGUAAUACGGAGGAUGCGAGCGUUAUCCGGAGUUAUUGGGUUUAAAGGGUGCGUAGGCGGAAUAUCAAGUCAGCGGUAAAAAUUCGGGGCUCAACCCCGUCGUGUCGUGGAAACUGAUGGUGUUGAGUGGGCGAGAAGAAUGCGGAAUGCGGGGUGUAGCGGUGAAAUGAAUAGAUAUCACGCAGAACUACGAUUGAGAAGGCAGCAUACCGGCGCCCAACUGACGCUGAAGCACGAAAGCGUGGGUAUCGAACAGGAUUAGAUACCCUUGUAGUC